This 720-nucleotide non-coding RNA is filed under the name Pongo abelii (Sumatran orangutan). The record is from RNAcentral. Lineage: Eukaryota; Metazoa; Chordata; Mammalia; Primates; Hominidae.
GGAGUUUCCUAUUGGGCCAGUUGGCUUUGUCUUUGACCACCGGGUGCUGGAUCUUACUACCUUAUGGGAGAGAGACAUGUAACUCUAAAGAAACAGCUGGAAGAGAAGAUUUCCAAGGGACUCCUUUGGAGCAAGAGAGGAAGACAGAUGAUUUCUACAUAGAAAGCCUGAGAAGGCCUCUCAGAGAUGGCUUCCUUGCCCUCCCCAGAUGUUCACAGGGUUAACUUAAAAAUGAAGCAUCAUGGAGCUGGCAAAUCAGCUCUGCAUCCCAAAGACAGUGCGACAUGUGAUAAUGACUGUGAAGCGCAGCUAAGCCCGUUAGCAGGAACGACCAGGGAGUGAGAGGCAGCGCUGGAGCGUCACCCUCCAACAUCGUCUCUUUGUUUGAGGAUCAUUAGGAAAGGAGACAUUAGGAAAAUGCUAGCCUGGUAAUAGGAGGGAAAUGGAUCUUGGCAGGGCUGUGUCACCCAGUGAGAAAUUAGCAAAUAACAUUCAGGGAAGAAAGCAGGGGCUUCUGUGCUAACCCAAUGAGGCUCUUGGGGAAUAAUGACACAUGGUUACCACCUGAGGAACCCCUGCUGAGGCAGCUGACUUGCCCAAUGGUCUACUACAGGCUCAGGUGAGUAGGAGGGUCCUUCCUAGGAGGGGCAGUGAUGCUCAGGCAGGGCUGGGACGCUCAGGCUCCUUGCAAGAGCUGAACCUCAAGUCUGAACCACUCCG